GUUUUGAGAGAGAGACAAAAGAGGACACACAACAAGUAGCCACUCUCUCAUCUCACCCAUCUCUUUACACACAUCAAGUAGCCACACUCUCUCUACUUCUCGCUGUUUUCUCCACUUUCUCUUCUCCUUCUUUCUCUACAGAUCUCUUUCUCUAUCUUCACUACUUUUCUUUCUAGAGGACAACUGUGACAUUUUGUCUGAACGCAUCUAUGGCUGCUCUGGUUCUUUCACUUCUCCUUCUAGCCAUGGCUGGCCAUUCUAGUGCCUCAUGGUGUGUGUGUAAAACAGGGCUGAGUGAUACAGUGCUACAGAGCACACUAGACUAUGCCUGUGGCAAUGGAGCAGACUGUAACCCCACUCACCCAAAAGCACCUUGCUUUGACCCUGACAAUGUUAGGUCUCACUGCAACUAUGCAGUCAAUAGCUUCUUCCAAAAGAAGCACCAAGCUCCAGGCACUUGUGAUUUUAGUGGCACUGCCACUCCAACUAACU
Long non-coding RNA from Brassica rapa (field mustard), 492 nucleotides. RefSeq lists it as uncharacterized. The record is from RefSeq and is a predicted model, not a curated record. Lineage: Eukaryota; Viridiplantae; Streptophyta; Magnoliopsida; Brassicales; Brassicaceae.